Molecule: long non-coding RNA, 1744 nt
Filed under: Ananas comosus (pineapple)
Lineage: Eukaryota; Viridiplantae; Streptophyta; Magnoliopsida; Poales; Bromeliaceae
Description: long non-coding RNA (ACOM_LNC029959)
Source: RNAcentral
UAUAUAUAUAUAAUUGAGUUAGAAUACUUUUAGAAGCACCAAUUCUUUGGUGCUUCUAGUUUUUAACCUUUGAAUUUACUCCUUCAUUACUAAUAGCCUUUAGAUCAAACACUAUUCCACAUACUACCACCUACCACCAUCAUCUUAGCCCUACAUCUCUCUAUCCAAUGGCUAAAAACUCAAAAGUACCACUCCCUUAGUGCUUUUAAGAGUAUUCUAGAUCAACUCUUUCUCUCUCUCUCUAUAUAUAGAACUAGGCUCGAAUACUAUUAAUAACACCAAUGACUUGGUGCUAUUAAGUUUUCUGCCUUUGAAUUAAAAGAUGUGCAGCUAGGAUGAUGUGGGCCCCCUAAGGUUGAGUGAGUGAUUGGUUGAAUAGUAUAAUCGAACGGAUGGAAAUAAUAAAAGAGCUAAAUCUAACAGCGGAAAACUUGAUAGCAUAAAAAAUUUUGUACUAUUGAUAGUAUCCUAACCGGACUAUAUAUAUAUAUAUAUAUAAUAAUAUUUUAUUUUUACUAUUAAAUAUAAACUAUAAUCCUAACAUAUAUAAUAUAAUAAUAAUUAUUAUAUAUCAAUAAUAUAUAAUAUAUGGAAUAAAAAAAUAAAUAUAUAAUAGUUUCCUAUUUAUAAUUUUUUUCUUUUCAGCCGAAAAAAAAAAAUCUCAAAUCAAACACUAGAGAGCGUAAAAUUUAUUUUCCUCUAUUUUUUUUUUCACAAAAUUUUUUUUAUACUUUUACGUGAAACCAAACACAUCCUUAACUUAAAAAAUAAAAGGUAAAUUACGCUUUUGGUCAUGAAACUAUAAAGCUCAUGAUACUUUGAUUCUCAAACUAUAAUUUAUAAUAAUUUGUCACUCAAACUUCUUAAAUUGUUGUAAUCAAAUCCGACAAUCCAAUGUUUUAAUUUUUCACUCGAACUUUUGAAUUGUUACAAUCAAGUCCGACAAUCUUUUUUUUUUUUUUUGAGAAAGAAUCCAAUUUAAUUUUUGUCAGAGAAAGAUGGUAUGCUACCUAUUUCGCUCGUUUUUUUUUUUUUAAAUGAACUCAGCUGAAAAUAUGAAAUAACUUAACUUCAAAUGUAGAACCUCAUGCUCUAUGUAAGAAACAAUCACUAACAAACCAAUUUAGUUGAUUAAAUAUCGACGUUCCACGUAUUAGUGAGAUGAAAGCGAUGUGGCAUAUUAAUCCUCACUCUAUCAUCAAUCAUAACACAACGGUCACACCAUUUUUAUGUUAGCAAUACGUGAGUAUUUGAUCAACUAAAUUAGAUUGCGAGAUUUGAUUAUAACAAUUUAAAAUUUUUAGUCAAAUAUUAUUAUAACGAAUUAAGAUUGGAGGACCAACUUGCGUGCACUCCCUUGUUUGGUUAGGGGUUAAGGGGUGGAAUAAUCCCUUAACCCCGAAUUUAUUUCCUAACAACAACAAAAAAGAGUGGGGUUAGCAAAUCCCAUCCCAAAUGGGCUAGUCCGGAAUAGCCCAUUUAGGGUGGGGUUAGUUAACCCCACCUGACCUAACCCCACCCCACCCUACUCCUCCAAUCAAACAAAAUACUAGUUUACCUACUAUUCUUCUUAUCAAAUCUAUUCCAAUCAAAUAUUAUUUUUCUUAAUUCUGAACUAACUCCAACCCCCAACCAAACACAAAAAUACUUUAACCCAUCUUAACCCUGAACUUAAUCAUAUUCCUGAAAUAAAAAUUUUUUCUUAACCCCGAACCAAACGGUACGUGACAUAGUUUAGCGACCA